Molecule: ribosomal RNA, 468 nt
Filed under: uncultured bacterium
Lineage: Bacteria
Description: partial 16S ribosomal RNA
Rfam family: Bacterial small subunit ribosomal RNA
Source: RNAcentral
GACGAACGCUGGCGGCGUGCUUAACACAUGCAAGUCGAACGGAAAGGCCCUGCUUUUGUGGGGUGCUCGAGUGGCGAACGGGUGAGUAACACGUGAGUAACCUGCCCUUGACUUUGGGAUAACUUCAGGAAACUGGGGCUAAUACCGGAUAGGAGCUCCUGCUGCAUGGUGGGGGUUGGAAAGUUUCGGCGGUUGGGGAUGGACUCGCGGCUUAUCAGCUUGUUGGUGGGGUAGUGGCUUACCAAGGCUUUGGCGGGUAGCCGGCCUGAGAGGGUGACCGGCCCCAUUGGGACUGAGAUGCGGCCCAGACUCCUACGGGAGGCAGCAGUGGGGAAUAUUGCACUAUGGGCGGAAGCCUGAUGCAGCAACGCCGCGUGCGGGAUGACGGCCUUCGGGUUGUAAACCGCUUUCGCCUGUGACGAAGCGUGAGUGACGGUAAUGGGUAAAGAAGCACCGGCUAACUACGUG